This 240-nucleotide unclassified non-coding RNA is filed under the name soil metagenome. RNAcentral describes it as "partial contains 5.8S ribosomal RNA, internal transcribed spacer 2, and large subunit ribosomal RNA". The record is from RNAcentral.
AAGACUAUAGACCUGCGGAGUACCUGCGGAGGGAUCAUUACAGAGAAAUUGCCCUUUGGGGUAGAUCUCCCACCCUAUGUUUACAUUACCUUUGUUGCUUUGGCAGGCCCGUCUUUCGACCACUGGCUUCGGCUGGUCAGUGUCUGCCAGAGGACCCCUAAACUCUUGAUAUUUUGUUGUCUGAGUAAAUAUAUAAUAGUUAAAACUUUUAACAACGGAUCUCUAGAUCGGAAGAGCACA